Rhododendron vialii is the source of this 1871-nucleotide long non-coding RNA. RefSeq lists it as uncharacterized. The record is from RefSeq and is a predicted model, not a curated record. Lineage: Eukaryota; Viridiplantae; Streptophyta; Magnoliopsida; Ericales; Ericaceae. The transcript is spliced from 3 exons.
CUGCCGAUGGACAUAUGAGAACAAGGAAUCCAAAGGACAACUUUCCCCAAUUUUUCCAAUCACAUCCCUCAAUUUGGUACACCUAGCCUUUUUCCAGGGAUAAACUAAGUCUAUUUACCUGUUUUUUAAAGAUUACUUUAGAGGGUUUUCGGACUUUUGAUGAAUUCCCUCUAUGUCCCAUUUUUUGUAUUGUAUUUUGUCUACUUAUGGCCAUUGUUGCAGGGAUAGUUUUGAGUUUUCCCUUCAUCUCUCACUAUCAUUGCCAUGGUUGAGUGCCGUGGUUGAGUUGGUCAAAAUUUGGUGUUUGAUUUUAAUGAUAUUCUUUGAUCUUAAUACUACAAAAACAACUACAAUGCCAUGGUGGUUGUGGAGGUGUAGAAGGAGACUUUGGUGUCUCAUUUUAAUGUAACUAUUUUCAACCAUAAGUGGUAAAUGCAACUACAAACAACCACGUGGUGGUGUUGCCUUAAAUCCAACCCCAUUGUGAGCGAUAUAUUCUAUAAAUACCAAUGGAGGGACGGGUGUUUUUACCAUAGCUUUCUUUAGUUCUGUGUUUUGUUUGUUUCAUUGAAUUUGCUAUGGGGCUUGAUUCCCUUCUUCCUAUGGCUUCAUCCGACUGACUGGAAAGGUAGUAGUAGUAGUAGCUUUCUGGCUGGCUUUGGCUUUGUUUGGAUUGGUGAGUAGUAGUGUUGAGCUGGAUGAUAACCGGGUGUGAUUGAGGCACAUACGAAGUUCUUUUCGUUGGGAUUGGCUUGGUCUUCCGUCGGGCUGAUGGAUUUACGCAGUCCUUUUGUUUGUUGUGUGCGCGAGAUGUACCUCUUUCAAAACAAGAUUGUUGAUCCAUUAACUCACAACAUCUGUUUCAGUCACAAGGGAUUUGCAUGAAAAGCUUUCUGGUUUGACGAGGUAACUGAUGUUGAUGGCUAUUUGGAGAGGACGUACUUAAGCCCAGCUUCGAUCAGAGCUGGAAAUCGAAAUGAUGGCUGGAUAAGGAAGCUGAUUUCCGAAUGUGAAGAUUUUAGAUCCUAGGCUAGCUCUGCAUUAUAAUUGAUUUGGUUCUGUUUGGUCUUUUUUUGUGAUUAUUUUACUAUUGGUUAAUGAUACCUUGUUAUGGAAUUCUUUAAGGCCAAUGGAAGCCAGUGUGAAGAAGUGAUUGGAAACAUUGUCUGGAAUGAGAAUUCGACGUUUGAAGUUCUCAAUUAUUUUCCUGUCUUCUUUGUAGGUAAAUAGAUAAUUACCUCGUUGUCUCUUAUCUUGCUUUGUUAGAUCUGCGGUUGCGUAUGUAAAUGCUUCAUUUUCCAAAGUUAACGUAUCAUAUUGAGUUAUUUUCUGUUGAAUUCGAUGGAAGAUUCGGAUUAAAAGUGUCCCUUAACCACAUGUGCAUCUGAAGUACGGGAUGGAAAGGUAUGUUUUUUAAUUCAUUUUAACAUGACAUGCAUUGGAUUUUUUCACAAACCAAGGAGGAAAGGAUUAUAACUACCCCGUGUAGUCAUACUAUUCAACCCGCAUACUUUCAUGAAAGUGGUAACGUGUUCAUUCAUUUGUUUUGUGCAGUUGGUACGAGCCCGGUUUAAACUGCAGGUGGUAGAGGAAAAGGCUUUAGGUUGAUAAAUCUUGAGCUGGAGCCUCCUUGUGAGUUUCUUCCUGAAACUGUUGCGAUGUUCUAAAUAGAGCAGCGGUUUGAGAUAUUGCAAUGGAGGGUAGAAGCAUGGACAAAGUGAUCGGGGUUGAAGAAGAAGCAAGCACAACUCCCGAACUUGAGAGGGUUACUUCUGUUUCGACCAUUUUCCCUAUUUUUGGCAACGCUAAAGAACCAGCGCAAAAUGCAAAAGAUGUCACCGGGUCCAAAAAGGAAACCUGAACUGAAGCAC